Molecule: long non-coding RNA, 259 nt
Organism: Humulus lupulus (European hop)
Lineage: Eukaryota; Viridiplantae; Streptophyta; Magnoliopsida; Rosales; Cannabaceae
Exons: 2
Source: RefSeq, a predicted model, not a curated record
UGAUGUUGAUAUUGUACCAGAAUCUUACUUAUUUCAUCCUAAUCAUGCGAUGCUUACAAUACAAGAAGUAGUUGGUUCCACAGUUGCAUGGCCUUCUAAAAAAGUUAUUCCAAGAGAUGUGACAAGCGAAGUAGAAAAUGAUACUUAAGACUCCUUGAAAGUAGUAACUUUGUUUAUUUCUUUGUGUUGAAAGUAGUAACUUUUAACUAUGUUGAAUAUUUAAGACUCCUUGAAUACUUAAAGAACAUUUUGUUGUUGA